RNAcentral lists this ribosomal RNA (984 nucleotides) under Platorchestia sp. AKP-2018. RNAcentral describes it as "16S ribosomal RNA". The record is from RNAcentral. Lineage: Eukaryota; Metazoa; Arthropoda; Malacostraca; Amphipoda; Talitridae.
AAAAAUAGUACUGUAAAUGACUGUAAAUGAAGUUUGAAAUUUUAAUAAAUUCCUUUUGUAUCAGGAUUUUUUUAGAAAAAUAAUUAUUUUUUAUCUCGAAUUUUUAUGAACUAAAAAAUAAUUGUUAAAUAAAUUAUUUUUAUUUUUAGAAAUGAAAUGUUUCGAAUAAAAAUAACUAGUUAAUCUAAAAUUUUUCUAAAGUAAGUUUUGUAAUUUUUAUAUUUUAUGUGUUUAAGAUAGUAUUUAAUCUUUAUAUUAGAUUUAUUAAAAGUUUGUUAUUAAUUAUUUUAAAUUUUUUGAUGAUAAUAUUAUUAGAUUUUUUAAAUUAUAUAUUUAGACUAUAAUUAAAAGAUUAUUAUAAAUUAUUUGAUUUGAAUAUAUAACUCAGCUUGUGUUUGAAUGUUUAACAAAAACAUUUUUUUUAGGUUGAAUGAAAGUAGGGUCUGCCCAGUGAUAUUUAAACGGCUGCGGUAUAUUGACCGUGCAAAGGUAGCAAAAUCAUUUGUUUUUUAAUUGAGAACUGGAAUGAAAGGCUUAACAAACACAUAGUUUUUUAUUUUUAACGAUUAAAAUUUUUAGUUUAUGUAAAAAUACAUAAAUGAUUUAGAGGGACGAUAAGACCCUAAAAGCUUUAUUAUUUAAUUUUUUAUUAUUGUUAAUAUUUGAUUAUAAUGUUAUUUUAACUGGGGCGGUUGUUUUUUAAAACAAAAAAUAUUUUUACAAAUAGGUUAAAAGAUCCUUAAUAUUAGGAUAAAUAGUUAAAGUUACUUUAGGGAUAACAGCGUAAUAAUAAUGGGGAGACCUUAUUUAUAUUAUUGAUUGCGACCUCGAUGUUGAAUUAAAUUUUUCUAUAUAAAGCAAAAAUUAUAUGUGAAAGUUUGUUCAACUUUUAAAAUUUUACAUGAUUUGAGUUCAAAUCGGUUUAAGCCAGAUUGGUUUCUAUCUUUUUUUAAAAAUUAAAUGUUUUAGUACGAAAGGAUUGAA